UUUACACUGCACGACAGUGCGAUAGGGGGAUCCCAAGUGCACAGGCAUAGCGCCUGUGCUUUUCGGUACCCUAAGGCGGUACCAGAAUAAGGGCUGGGCAAGACCGGUGCCAGCCGCCGCGGUAAUACCGGCAGCCCAAGUGAUGGCCGAUCUUAUUGGGCCUAAAGCGUCCGUAGCUGGCCGCGCAAGUCCAUCGGGAAAUCCACCUGCUCAACAGGUGGGCGCCCGGUAGAAACUGCGUGGCUUGGGACCGGAAGGCGCGACGGGUACGUCCGGGGUAGGAGUGAAAUCCCGUAAUCCUGGACGGACCGCCGAUGGCGAAAGCACGUCGCGAGAACGGAUCCGACAGUGAGGGACGAAAGCCAGGGUCUCGAACCGGAUUAGA
RNAcentral lists this ribosomal RNA (385 nucleotides) under uncultured haloarchaeon. RNAcentral's name for it is "bacterial SSU rRNA". It matches the Rfam family "Archaeal small subunit ribosomal RNA", at positions 349 to 733 of the family's 1478-position model. The record is from RNAcentral. Lineage: Archaea; Methanobacteriati; Methanobacteriota; Halobacteria; Halobacteriales; Halobacteriaceae.